GGAAGAGAAAUCCCAAAGCUUUUGCAAUUCAGUCUGCUGUGGGGAUGGCUUGAUCCUUUCACAGGACUCAGGAUUUGAAGACAAAAAAGCAUCAUAUUCCAGUGGUUGAUCAAACUCCACUAGAGCCGCCACCAAUAGUGAUAGUGGUGACGGGGCCUCCAAAAGUUGGAAAGAGCACUUUGAUAUAAUGCCUCAUUGGGAACUUCACCCGGCAGAAGUUGACCGAGAUCAGAGGCCCUGUGAUGAUUGUGUCAGGUAAAAAGCUCCGACUCACCAUUAUUGAAUGUGGGUGUGACAUUAACAUGAUCUAUCUGGCUGAAGUAGCAGAUCUGGUUGCCAAGCUGUUCUACCUUUCUGGAAUGGUGCAUGGAGAAUAUCAAGACCAAGAAAUCCACAAUCUGGGCCAUUUUAUUACAGUUAUGAAGUUUAGGCCUCUCACAUGGCAGACUUCUCAUCCUUAUAUCCUGGCAGACAGGUAAAAAGUGAUUGUAAACUUUUAUUUCCUAGACCAUAUAUUUCAAAGCUAAAAAGGCUAGAAAAAGAACAGUGAUAGGAUUUAUUUUGUGCCUAUUUGAAUAGUGGGGAUAGAAGUGUAGUUGAUGGAAAAUGUCUACUUAUAUCAUUGCUCAAAGAUGCUGUGCCUUUGGGAGUAAAUUAAUUAUGAGAUGUUUAGGAAAAUGGGAGGACUUGGAAGCAUUUAAAGCUACAGGAUAUGGCCCCAUCCUAUGUUCAGCCUCAGUUUUCAGUGAUGCUGCCUUCGUGCCCGGGUGCUUGAGUCCUUUAUGUGUGCCUUCAGUUUCCUUCCUUUGUGCUCUUCUUUGUGCUGUGGUUUUCUCAGCCUGGAAUACCCUUUUUCCACCUGCCAGAAUCCAAGCCACAGUACAAAUCCCAGAGCACAGGCUCACCCUCUUCCAGAAAGGGAUUUUCUGAAUAUGUUCUUCACUCUUCCCUGACCCCAGGUGGACGUCAUCUCCCUGUCUGGUGUCUUACGGAAUGAAUGUCACUUUCAGCCUAGAGACACAGUUGUGUGCCUGCCCCUUUUCCUCUGGUGGGUGGUUAAUGGUGCUUCCUUAUUUCUGUAUUUUCUAGUUUUCUAAAUGACAUGCUUAGUGGACAAGAGUGUGAUGAGUCAUUGACACAUGAAAGGAGGUAUAGGAACUUUGGCAUUCAUUUCUGCUGUAUGAUUGAGUUUAUUUUUCUAGGAUGGAAGAUUUGACAAACCCAGAGGAUAUCUGAACAAAAUGUGACUGGCAGGUGUCACUUUAUGGUUAUUUAAGAGGCGCACACUUGAAAAAUAAAAGCCAAAUUCACAUGCCAGGUAUUCUCUUGUUGUAGAACAUACUAGAAUCACACAUAGGAUUCUUGGGAUGGCUUCUUUUCUCAGGAAAACUGACAAAUGACCAAACAAGGGAAGAUGGCUUUGGUGGAGGUUUUAAAAGUAAGCCAGCUAUGUGGAGGCCUGUAAAGGUGUUAUUGAAUCCCCUCUUCUCUGACCUUUUGUCUUAUAGCUAGAGGAGCACUGUUCCAGUGUGGCACAAUGCCCUUCUUUAUGCUCAUGGGUUAAGCCCUUGGACUGUACAUCAUUUUUUGUUUUGUUUUGUUAUUGGUGACUGACCCCAUGAGUCAUGCUCUUUACAAAGCAUGCAUUUGGAUGUUUCUUUCUUUUUUUUAUUAUUAUACUUUAAGUUCUAGGGUACAUGUGCACAAUGUGCAGGUUUGUUACAUAUGUAUACAUGUGCCGUGUUGGUAUGCUGCACCCGUCAACUCGAGAUUUACAUUAAAUAUAUCUCCCAGUGCUAUCCCUCCCCACUCCCCCACCCCACGACAGGCGCUGGUGUGUGAUGUUCCUCAAAAAUUAAUUAAUUAAUUAAUUAAUUAAUUAAUAGAAAUUCUCGGCUGCUUUUUAUAGCUGUAGAAAAAAAAUGAAAUCUAUUUUAAACUUUUCUUUUUUUUUUUUUUUGAGACAGAGUCUCACUUUGUCUCCCGGCCUGGAGUGCAGUGGCGCGAACUCGGCUCACUGCAAGCUCCGUCUCCUGGGUUCACCCCAUUCUCCUGUUUCAGCCUCCCGAGUAACUGGGACUACAGGGGCCUGCUACCACGCCCGGCUAAUUUUUUGUAUUUUUAGUAGAGAUGGGGUUUCACCAUGUUAACCAGGAUGGUCUCGAUCUCCUGACCUCAUGAUCCGCCCGCCUCCACCUCCCAAAGUGCUAGGAUUACAGGUGUGAGCCACCACGCCCGGCGAAGCCGACUUUUCCCAUUAUUUUUAACGGUAAUUCAUAAAAUCCUUGUUAGGUUUGAUGACAGGUACCAUAUUAAGGGCAGCAUUUUAUAACCCAUAUCUUAAACAUCAUCUCUGGAAGUUGAGAGCCUCCAAUGGGUUUUCUAUAGAGUGCACAUGAUACCACACUCAGGCAGUUCAUGGAGUGUAAGACAUAUCUUAGUGCUUUGUCAUUUGACAUUUUCACUGAGAAAAAAAUAUACUUUGAUAAGUUUGACUUACACUUCCCUUCCCCUUCAGGUAUCUACUGAGCGUUUCAGUCAACAAUACAGCUCGUGUUCGACAAUAUUCCUUGAUGACAGCACAGCCAGCCAGCAUUAUCUUAUAAUGACAAUAAUAUCAGAUGCAGAUAGAUCUUUGACCAUACUUGAUGAACAGUUAUACUCAUUUGCGUUUUCCACCGUGCACAUUAUGAAGAAAAGAAAUGGAGGUGGGAGUUUAAAUAACUAUUCCUCCUCCAUUCCAUCGACUCCCAGCACCAGCCAGGAGGACCUUUAUUUCAGUGUUCCUCCCACUGCCAACACACCCACGCCCAUUUGCAAGCAGUCCAUGGGCUGGUCCAACUUGUUUACAUCUGAGAAAGGGAGUGACCCAGACAAAGAGAGGAAAGCCCUGGAGAGUCACGCUGACACCAUCGGGAGCAGCACAGCCAUCCCCAUUAAACAGGGCAUGCUCUUAAAGCGAAGUGGGAAAUGGCUGAAGACAUGGAAAAAGAAAUAUGUCACCCUGUGUUCCAAUGGCGUGCUCACCUAUUAUUCAAGCUUAGGUGAUUAUAUGAAGAAUAUUCAUAAAAAAGAGAUUGACCUUCAGACAUCUACCAUCAAAGUCCCAGGAAAGUGGCCAUCCCUAGCCACAUCGGCCUGCGCACCCAUCUCCAGCUCUAAAAGCAAUGGCCUAUCCAAGGACAUGGACACCGGGCUGGGUGACUCCAUAUGCUUCAGCCCCAGUAUCUCCAGCACCACCAGCCCCAAGCUCAACCCGCCCCCCUCUCCUCAUGCCAAUAAAAAGAAACACCUAAAGAAGAAAAGCACCAACAACUUUAUGAUUGUGUCUGCCACUGGCCAAACGUGGCACUUUGAAGCCACGACGUAUGAGGAGCGGGAUGCCUGGGUCCAAGCCAUCCAGAGCCAGAUCCUGACCAGCCUGCAGUCAUGCAAGAGCAGUAAAAGCAAGUCCCAGCUGACCAGCCAGAGUGAGGCCAUGGCCCUGCAGUCGAUCCAAAACAUGCGUGGGAACUCCCACUGUGUGGACUGUGAGACCCAGAAUCCUAAGUGGGCCAGUUUGAACUUGGGAGUCCUCAUGUGUAUUGAAUGCUCAGGAAUCCACCGCAGUCUUGGCACCCGCCUUUCCCGUGUGCGAUCUCUGGAGCUGGAUGACUGGCCAGUUGAGCUCAGGAAGGUUAUGUCAUCUAUUGGCAAUGACCUAGCCAACAGCAUCUGGGAAGGGAGCAGCCAGGGGCAGACGAAACCCUCAAUAGAGUCGACGAGGGAAGAGAAGGAACGGUGGAUCCGUUCCAAAUAUGAGCAUAAGCUCUUUCUGGCCCCACUACCCUGCACUGAGCUGUCCCUGGGCCAGCACCUGCUGCAGGCCACCGCUGAUGAGGACCUGCGGACAGCCAUCCUGCUGCUGGCACAUGGCUCCCGUGAGGAGGUGAACGAGACCUGUGGGGAGGGAGACGGCUGCAUGCGCUCCAUCUGGCCUGCCGCAAGGGGAAUGUGGUCCUGGCGCAGCUCCUGAUCUGGUACGGGGUGGACGUCAUGGCCCGAGAUGCCCACGGGAACACAGCGCUGACCUACGCCCGGCAGGCCUCCAGCCAGGAGUGCAUCAACGUGCUUCUGCAGUACGGCUGCCCCAACGAGUGCGUGUAGUAUCUGUUUUAUUUGACUGCAGUCUCCUUGGUGCAAAAACAAAAUGGGAAAAAUAAGGAUAACUCAGAAUUUCAAAAGGAAAUCACAAAUUCAGCUAAUAAUAGCAUUUUCAGUACUUUUCGUAAACUAAGUAAAUACACAAAAUGUUGAUUUUUCUGACCAUAAGACAUAUUUUAUGUCCUUUUGCCGAGGUGGGUGUGUUAGUCUCAGGCCCUCCUGGCCACAUUGCCCAAGUCACACAGGCUUCUGUAUUAUGUAUUUAGAUAAGAUGUGUGAAAAUAUAUUUGAAAAAAAGUUC
This 4444-nucleotide small RNA is filed under the name Pan troglodytes (chimpanzee). RNAcentral's name for it is "processed transcript". The record is from RNAcentral. Lineage: Eukaryota; Metazoa; Chordata; Mammalia; Primates; Hominidae.